RNAcentral lists this unclassified non-coding RNA (345 nucleotides) under soil metagenome. RNAcentral's name for it is "partial contains 5.8S ribosomal RNA, internal transcribed spacer 2, and large subunit ribosomal RNA". The stretch from base 1 to 120 matches the Rfam family "5.8S ribosomal RNA", at positions 35 to 154 of the family's 154-position model. The record is from RNAcentral.
GAUGAAGAACGUAGUGAAAUGCGAUAAGUAGUGUGAAUUGCAGAAUUCAGUGAAUCAUCGAAUCUUUGAACGCACAUUGCGCCCUUUGGUAUUCCUUAGGGCAUGCCUGUUCGAGCGUCAUUUCAACCCUCAAGCACUGCUUGGUGUUGGGCGUUUGUCCUGCCUCCGCGCGGGACUCGCCUCAAAGACAUUGGCGGCCGGUUUCCCUUUGCAGGCCACGAGCGCAGCACAGCGAGCGCUCUACGUGGACGCGGGGUCGGCGCACCAGAAGCCCUCUUUCUCGAAUUUUGACCUCGGAUCAGGUAGGGAUACCCGCUGAACUUAAGCAUAUCAAUAAGCGGAGGA